AGCUCCAAUAGCGUAUAUUAACGUUGUUGCAGUUAAAAGGCUCGUAGUCGAACUUAUGACUAUGUGCGCCUGGCCCAAUGUCUAGUACAUUGCGCGCUGGUGUGCACAGGUCAUCCAUCUGGAGAGCACUUCUGCCCUUGAUUGGGUUGGUUGUGUGGUCCAGAUCAUUUACUGUGAGUAAAUCAAAGUGUUCAAGGCAGGCAUUUCGCUCUGAAUGCUCUAGCAUGGAAUAAUACUAUAGGACUUCGGUUCUAUUUAUUGGCUUUUAGAACCAAAGUAAUGAUUGAAAGGGAUAGUUGGGGGUGCUAGUAUUUAACGGUCAGCGGUGAAAUGCACGGACCCGUUAAAGACUAACUUAUGCGAAAGCAUUCACCAAGGAUAUCUUCUUUGAUCAAGAACG
RNAcentral lists this ribosomal RNA (400 nucleotides) under phytoplankton environmental sample. RNAcentral describes it as "partial small subunit ribosomal RNA". It matches the Rfam family "Eukaryotic small subunit ribosomal RNA", at positions 587 to 985 of the family's 1831-position model. The record is from RNAcentral.